UCCCUGGUGGUCCAGUGGCUAAGACUCUGCACUCCUGAUGCAGGGGUCCUGGGUUCGCUCCCUGGCUGGGGAA
This is a non-coding RNA of Odocoileus virginianus texanus, 73 nucleotides long. The record is from the annotation of a RefSeq genome assembly. Lineage: Eukaryota; Metazoa; Chordata; Mammalia; Artiodactyla; Cervidae.